AUUGAACGCUAGCGGGAUGCCUUACACAUGCAAGUCGAACGGAGUGGCGAACGGGUGAGUAAUGUAUCGGAACGUGCCCAGUAGCGGGGGAUAACUACGCGAAAGCGUAGCUAAUAUCGCAUACUCUUGGUCCGGCAUCUAUCGGAUUAGCUAGUUGGGGGGGUAACGGCUCACCAAGGCUACGAUCCAUAGCAGGUUUGAGAGGACGACCAGCCACACUGGGACUGAGACACGGCCCAAACUCCUACGGGAGGCAGCAGUAGGGAAUUUUGGGCAAUGGGCGAAACCCUGAUCCAGCCAUCCCGCGUGUGCGAAGAAGGCCUUCGGGUUGUAAAGCACUUUUGGCAGGAAAGCGGUACCUGCAGAGUAAGCACCGGCUAACUACGUGCCAGCAGCCGCGGUAAUAC
This 407-nucleotide ribosomal RNA is filed under the name uncultured bacterium. RNAcentral describes it as "partial 16S ribosomal RNA". It matches the Rfam family "Bacterial small subunit ribosomal RNA", at positions 30 to 526 of the family's 1533-position model. The record is from RNAcentral.